RNAcentral lists this ribosomal RNA (720 nucleotides) under uncultured Pseudomonadota bacterium. RNAcentral describes it as "bacterial SSU rRNA". It matches the Rfam family "Bacterial small subunit ribosomal RNA", at positions 8 to 700 of the family's 1533-position model. Lineage: Bacteria; Pseudomonadati; Pseudomonadota. The record is from RNAcentral.
AGAGUUUGAUCAUGGCUCAGAACGAACGCUGGCGGCGUGCCUAACACAUGCAAGUCGUACGAGAAAUCCUGGGCAACUGGGAGAGUAAAGUGGCGCACGGGUGAGUAACGCGUGGGUAACCUACCCUUGAACUGGGGAUAACUCCUCGAAAGGGGAGUUAAUACCGAAUAAUAUUCCAGUUCCCACGGGAGUUGGAAUCAAAGGUGGCCUCUGCAUGCAAGCUAUCGUUUAAGGAUGGGCCCGCGUGCCAUUAGCUAGUUGGUAGGGUAAUGGCCUACCAAGGCAACGAUGGUUAGCUGGUCUGAGAGGAUGGCCAGCCACACUGGAACUGAGACACGGUCCAGACUCCUACGGGAUGCAGCAGUCAGGAAUAUUGCGCAAUGGAGGAAACUCUGACGCAGCGACGCCGCGUGGGUGAUGAAGGCCUUCGGGUCGUAAAGCCCUGUCGGAGGGGAAGAAAAGUCUGUUGGCUAAUAUCCAGCGGACCUUUGACGGUACCCGCAGAAGAAGCACCGGCUAACUACGUGCCAGCAGCCGCGGUAAUACGUAGGGUGCGAGCGUUAAUCGGAAUUACUGGGCGUAAAGCGUGCGUAGGCGGUUCUGCAAGUCAGAUGUGAAAUCCCCGGGCUUAACCUGGGAACUGCGUUUGAAACUACGGAGCUAGAAUGCGGCAGAGGGGGGUGGAAUUCCACGUGUAGCAGUGAAAUGCGUAGAUAUGUG